This 111-nucleotide ribosomal RNA is filed under the name Caerostris darwini. Lineage: Eukaryota; Metazoa; Arthropoda; Arachnida; Araneae; Araneidae. The record is from RNAcentral.
AACGGCUAUACCAUGCUGAAUAUACCGGUUCUCGUUAGAUCACCGAAGUCAAGCAUUAUUGGGCGCGGUCAGUACUUGGGUGGGUGACCACCUGGGAACACCGCGUGCCGU